UACGGAGGGUGCAAGCGUUAAUCGGAAUUACUGGGCGUAAAGCGCACGCAGGUGGCUGAGUCAGUCGAUUGUGAAAGCCCUGGGCUUAACCUGGGAAUUGCAGUCGAUACUACUCAGCUAGAGUAUGGGAGAGGGCAGUGGAAUUCCUGGUGUAGCGGUGAAAUGCGCAGAUAUCAGGAAGAACACCAAUGGCGAAGGCAGCUCUCUGGGACGGUACUGACACUGAGACGCGAAAGCGUGGGGAGCGAACAGG
RNAcentral lists this ribosomal RNA (253 nucleotides) under uncultured bacterium. RNAcentral describes it as "partial 16S ribosomal RNA". It matches the Rfam family "Bacterial small subunit ribosomal RNA", at positions 524 to 776 of the family's 1533-position model. The record is from RNAcentral.